RNAcentral lists this ribosomal RNA (253 nucleotides) under uncultured bacterium. RNAcentral describes it as "partial 16S ribosomal RNA". It matches the Rfam family "Bacterial small subunit ribosomal RNA", at positions 524 to 776 of the family's 1533-position model. The record is from RNAcentral.
UACGUAGGGUGCGAGCGUUGUCCGGAAUUAUUGGGCGUAAAGGGCUCGUAGGCGGUUUGUCGCGUCGGGAGUGAAAACCUCGGGCUUAACUCGGGGCUUGCUUUCGAUACGGGCAGACUAGAGGUAUGCAGGGGAGAACGGAAUUCCUGGUGUAGCGGUGAAAUGCGCAGAUAUCAGGAGGAACACCUGAGGUGAAGACAGGUUGCUGGGCUGACACUGACACUGAGGCGCGAAAGCCAGGGGAGCAAACGGG